CAUAGCUUUUUGAUUAUAAUUUAAAGCAUGAUCUGCUCAGUGAAGAGUUAAAUAGCCGCAGUAUUUUGACUGUGCGAAGGUAGCAUUAUAAUUUGGUUUUUAAUUAAAAUCUGGUAUGAAUGAUUUUACGAGAAUUUGACUGUCUCAUUUUUAUAGAGUUAAUUUUUCUUUUAAGUUAAAAGACUUAGAUUUAGUUUUUAGACGAGAAGACCCUUUAGAAUUUUAUUAUUAUUAUUUAUUUAUUUUUGAUUUAAAUCAAUUUGUUAAUUUGGUUGGGGUGAUUAGAAGAUUUAAUAAACUCUUUUUUAAAGAUCAUUGAUUUAUGAUUUUUUGAAUUAUUAUUUAUAGUUUAAGCUAAAUUACCUAAGGGAUAACAGCGUGAAAUUAUUUUAAGUUCAUAUUUAAUUUAAUUUUUGCGACCUCGAUGUUGGAUUAAAAUUUAUUUUAGAAGAAGAAUUCUAAGGAUUUGGUCUGUUCGACCAUUUAAAUUUUACAUGAUCUGAGU
This 505-nucleotide ribosomal RNA is filed under the name Jurasai itajubense. RNAcentral describes it as "partial large subunit ribosomal RNA". The stretch from base 370 to 505 matches the Rfam family "Bacterial large subunit ribosomal RNA", at positions 2473 to 2610 of the family's 2925-position model. Lineage: Eukaryota; Metazoa; Arthropoda; Insecta; Coleoptera; Jurasaidae. The record is from RNAcentral.